CCGACCAUGACUAUAAGGGUGUAGUUUAAUUUGUGUUUUGUCACAUUGUGUAUGCUAUUGUGGUUUAUUACUAAGGUGUAGGGAAACACCUAUUUACACCCUUUGUGCAAGCUACAAGAAUAAUCAGAAGCGCUACACAUCUGUCAUUAUUUUACUUCAUACUGUAUUUAGCUACAAGUUGACCUUGGCAGAUGGAUUUGGG
Molecule: non-coding RNA, 202 nt
Organism: Pelobates cultripes (western spadefoot toad)
Lineage: Eukaryota; Metazoa; Chordata; Amphibia; Anura; Pelobatidae
Source: the annotation of a GenBank genome assembly